Molecule: ribosomal RNA, 793 nt
Filed under: uncultured bacterium
Lineage: Bacteria
Description: bacterial SSU rRNA
Rfam family: Bacterial small subunit ribosomal RNA
Source: RNAcentral
GUCUGCCUUGAAGAUCGGAGUGCUUGCACUCUGUGAAACAAGAUACAGGCUAGCGGCGGACGGGUGAGUAACACGUGGGUAACCUGCCUAAGAGAUCGGGAUAACACCUGGAAACAGAUGCUAAUACCGGAUAACAACAGAUGAUGCCUAUCAACUGUUUAAAAGAUGGUUCUGCUAUCACUCUUGGAUGGACCUGCGGUGCAUUAGCUAGUUGGUAGGGUAACGGCCUACCAAGGCGAUGAUGCAUAGCCGAGUUGAGAGACUGAUCGGCCACAUUGGGACUGAGACACGGCCCAAACUCCUACGGGAGGCAGCAGUAGGGAAUCUUCCACAAUGGACGCAAGUCUGAUGGAGCAACGCCGCGUGAGUGAAGAAGGGUUUCGGCUCGUAAAGCUCUGUUGUUGGUGAAGAAGGACAGGGGUAGUAACUGACCUUUGUUUGACGGUAAUCAAUUAGAAAGUCACGGCUAACUACGUGCCAGCAGCCGCGGUAAUACGUAGGUGGCAAGCGUUGUCCGGAUUUAUUGGGCGUAAAGCGAGUGCAGGCGGCUCGAUAAGUCUGAUGUGAAAGCCUUCGGCUCAACCGGAGAAUUGCAUCAGAAACUGUCGAGCUUGAGUACAGAAGAGGAGAGUGGAACUCCAUGUGUAGCGGUGAAAUGCGUAGAUAUAUGGAAGAACACCGGUGGCGAAGGCGGCUCUCUGGUCUGUUACNNNCGCUGAGGCUCGAAAGCAUGGGUAGCGAACAGGAUUAGAUACCCUGGUAGUCCAUGCCGUAAACGAUGAGUGCUAAGUGU